Molecule: ribosomal RNA, 212 nt
Filed under: uncultured bacterium
Lineage: Bacteria
Description: partial 16S ribosomal RNA
Rfam family: Bacterial small subunit ribosomal RNA
Source: RNAcentral
GGGAUAACUACUGGAAACGGUAGCUAAUACCGCAUAACGUCGCAAGACCAAAGAGGGGGACCUUCGGGCCUCUUGCCAUCGGAUGUGCCCAGAUGGGAUUAGCUAGUAGGUGGGGUAACGGCUCACCUAGGCGACGAUCCCUAGCUGGUCUGAGAGGAUGACCAGCCACACUGGAACUGAGACACGGCCAGACUCCUACGGGAGGCAGCAUG